CCCAGUAAGCUUCAAUGAGCUAUUCGAUCCGGUUAAAUCUAAAAAAUGAGCACACGGAUUUUAAGAUUAGUCUACUCAAAAAGAGCCGCCAUCUUGUGGGGGUAUGUUAAGAGAAUAAAUUCCACAUCGGUUAAAUACCGAAAUAUUGACCAAUUUAAAUAGAUUUUCGGCCACUUCUCUUAACAAAGUUGACCUUAUUAAGAUGAAUCUCAAAUCUUAACAUGGUAUCAGAGCCCAUUAAACUCCAAUGAGCAAUUCGAUCCGAUUAAGACUCUAAAAAUGAGUACAUGGACUGCAAGAUUGGUUUGCUCAAACAAGCCACUAUCUUGCGAGACAUGUUAAGGGAUAAAAAUUUCACCUUGGUUAAAUAACGAAAUAUUGAUCAAUUUAAAAGAUCCUGUACUACUCCUCUUAACAAGGUUGAUCUUAUUAAGAUGGGCUCUAAAUCUUAACAUAGUAUCAUACCUCAGUAAACUCCAACGGCUAUUCGAUCCGCUUAAGUCUCAAAAAUGAGCACACGAAUUUCAAGAUUUGUCUGCUCAAAAAGAGCCACCAUCUUGCAGGGGCAUGUUAAGGGAAUAAAUUACAUAUCGGUUAAAUACCGAAAUACUUAAAUAGAUCUUGGGUCACUCCUCUUAACAAGGUUGACUUUAUUAAGAUGGACCCAAAAUCUUAACACCGUCAUCAUCUCGCUCGCUUUCGAUAAAUUGCUCUCCGAAUCUGACCACACUCCCGCAGUCCUCCACGGAAAUUCGUCCUCCGCCUCAAACGCCACUGUCGCCCAUACUUACAAAAUCACUUUCAUCCUUCCUCCUCGUCACAUUCACUCAUCUUCCCCUUACACUUCUAUCCAUCCCCCAGCACCGCCACCAUCUCUACCCCACCUUAACCGCUAUCACUACGGCUAUUAAAGGCUUCAGCUGUUGGUCUGAUUGCCACCGCAACACAAUCACCACUGCACCACUCCUCUACGACUAAAUUGAGAGAGAGAAUGGCGAGGGUGGUUUGUGGUGUGGGUGUGGUUAAUAUAUGUUAAAUAAAUAAUUUUCACCUGAUUUAUGAAUUAACUUAGCGUCUGAUUAAUGAUAUGUUAACUUAAAAAAUAGGUCAGUGUGUAAUUUUCUAAAAACCUACAAUUAAAUACUAAUUAACAUAAAUAAGGGAGAAUUAGUUUAAAAUUCAAAUAUCAGAUGGUAAUAACAUUUUAAUGAAUUUAAUUAAGCACAAUAUCUAUAUUCACCCACCCCAAAAUUUAUCCCCUGCGCAUUUUCGAUUUCUCCAUCUCGAUCUCUUUAUCCACCACACCAUACCCAUCUAUCGCUGCCCCUGUCCCCAAAAUCAAGUUGUCGCCACCACCACCACGACGUAAGCAGAGCCCUUUCUUUUCUAGCGCCUCUACGAUCAACGAAACCCCUACCCACCCGUAGAGAAGAAUCGCCAUAGGCAGCGACAAUCCGAUGCGUGCGGCGGUGCAACAGCAAGGCAUCGCUGCUGCGGUGACGAGCAGCGAUGAUGUGGCUAAGUACUCCUCUGCUCCUAUAGUGUAGUCAAAUGACCUACGGGCGAUGUUGAGACCUACUUUAUUGAGUGUGUUUUCGCACUAGAAGAGUGCCUGUGGGUGGCUUAUGAUUCAAGUGAGUUGUUCGAUUUGGAACCUAGGGAUUGCGAUUAGGCAGUGGUGGAGAGAGAGUUGAACCUUGCCGACUGUGUGGAGAUGGUGGAGGAAGAGGAGGUUGUAAUUCCGGUUAAUAGAGCCGCCUAGGGAAUUCUUCCUCGGAAGCGCAGCUCUAUCAUUGAUCCAACGGUGAUAUAAAAAUUUGCAAUGUUGUUUUCCUUCCUCAAUCUAUUGAUGUAAGACAGUUUUAAUUUGAGGGAAAAUUAUCAGCUGCUCUUUUUUCAGUUUGAAAUGAUCUUUGAUGGACAGAGUGACCCUGAGAUAUAUAAUGAGUGUCUUGGACGAAGUUUUAGGACAUUUGAAGUGGUAUUUCCGCGGUAGUUGUUUGUGUAUUAUUCUUGAGAUAGAUGACGAAUAUGUUCGAAUUUAUUUGUGGUGACACUCUGUGAACAAAUAUGUAAUUAUUGUGACCGGACACACCAUCAUAGUUAAAAUUGACUUGAUUACGGGUAAUUAUACUGGAGACGAAUUUGUUACAAUUAGUCACACUGAAAACAAAUUGAGUCAUAGCUAAUCACGGAUAACAUGUGUUAUUGACUUGGUUACAUAAAAUCACAAAUUUGGCAAUCACAGAUGGUCAUACUAAGGAUAAAUGUAAUCAUAGUUAAUCACUAUAAAAAUAAAUUUGUUCACAGUUAGUCACACAUAACACGUGUUAAUGACUUAAUUACAUACAACACAAAUUAAAUGGUCACAAACAUUCAUACUUAAAAUAAAUUUGACCAUAGUUAAUCAUAUAUAACACAGUUAGCAAUAAAUUUGGAGAGCUUCCAUGCGGGUGGGGUGUAAUCUGAAAAAAUAAGAAACAUUUUAAAAUUUUUGAAUUUUUUUAAAGGUCAGGAUAGGGGAAGAGUGGGUGUCAUCUCGAUUUAUUUUAUUUAUUUUUAAAGUUUUCCAUUUUUGAAACAAAUUUAUUAGGCCUUGUUUGAUCACAUUAUUUAAAAAAAAAAAUACAUUCUUCAACAGUGAUUUGACAUCAUUUCAACCACAUAUUCUUCAAUAAAAUAAUAUUACACGUAAAUCUAAAAUUUUUCCUUAUUUUUUAACCACAUAUUUCUCAUUGAUUUGACAUGAAUAAUGCAUUUUUUUUUUUUCUAAAAUGUGACUCAAACAUGUGCUUAGUUUUGAAAUGUAAUUUUUAUAUAUAAAAGUUUUGUAUUUGAGGUCCAACUUUAACGUUCGACUCCGAUUCAAAAAUUCUCAUGUCAAACCUAGUUGGCUAGUUCCAAAUUUUAUGGGAUGUUUGAUUUAGAUUACACAAAUUAACACCCCGGCGACCACCAAAACAGAAAAACGUAUAGUUCAAAUAUUUGCUGACAUAAAAUACGACCUUCCAGGUUUGACUUCAUUGGGCUCUGCCCCAACCAAUAACAUGUUAAUCAAUUGGAAAAAAACAUUGGUUAUCAGAUCACUUGCAAUCUCUACUUUCUCUUUAGAUUGCAUAGGUUUAAAGGAACUUGGUCAAGGUAACCAUGGAUCUACAAACACCCUUAAAAAUCAUUUACCCAAAAAAAAAAAAAAAAAAAAAAAAAGGGAAGUAUAUUAAAUGACACGAGACAAAUAUUAUUUGUUUCACUUUUAUUAAUUCUCACCCUGGCACCACCCGUAGAGACCAAAUUUGUACAUUUGCCCCUUUGAUGAUCUCAACAGAUUCUCCAAUACUCUUUUCUUUUUUUCAUUCUUUUCUAUUGUAAAACUAAAGAGACUUUCUUACAAAUGAAUGGCAAAGUACCCUUUUUCAACUCUUAUCCUAUUAUUAAGAAGAUGCCUUCCAAACUUUUUAAGACUUCAUGCACAAAUUACUAUUACCAGCUUUCCUAGUACUCCAAUGGCAUCGCCAACUGCACUUUAUGUAGCUGUCGACGUAUGGUAUUCAUUAUGUUCUGUUCUGAACUGAUUGUGCUGAGUCCAGACUUCGAAUCAACCAACAGUUUUCAAUCCAACAACUUGCGUAUCACUCUGCAUCUAUCUACAAGUUACACCACCACUGGGGAUUUACACGAGUUCAUUUCCUGCAUGUUUAGACGCUGCAGACGCCUGAGGCGGGCGAUAAUCUGGCCAAAAGAAGGGCGUGCUUGUGGAUUUCUGCAGCAGAAGAAUGUCACAAAUUAGAUUUCCCAAGGGGUCAAAUAGUUCAUAUCUGUUAGCUACACCAUACGUGGUAAUUCCGGUUAAUAGAGCCGCCUAGGGAAUUCUUCCUCGGAAGCGCAGCUCUAUCAUUGAUCCAACGGUGAUAUAAAAAUUUGCAAUGUUGUUUUCCUUCCUCAAUCUAUUGAUGUAAGACAGUUUUAAUUUGAGGGAAAAUUAUCAGCUGCUCUUUUUUCAGUUUGAAAUGAUCUUUGAUGGACAGAGUGACCCUGAGAUAUAUAAUGAGUGUCUUGGAGGAAGUUUUAGGACAUUUGAAGUGGUAUUUCCGCGGUAGUUGUUUGUGUAUUAUUCUUGAGAUAGAUGACGAAUAUGUUCGAAUUUAUUUGUGGUGACACUCUGUGAACAAAUAUGUAAUUAUUGUGACCGGACACACCAUCAUAGUUAAAAUUGACUUGAUUACGGGUAAUUAUACUGGAGACGAAUUUGUUACAAUUAGUCACACUGAAAACAAAUUGAGUCAUAGCUAAUCACGGAUAACAUGUGUUAUUGACUUGGUUACAUAAAAUCAC
RNAcentral lists this long non-coding RNA (4332 nucleotides) under Olea europaea (common olive). Its description in RNAcentral is "long non-coding RNA (OEUR_LNC002832)". Lineage: Eukaryota; Viridiplantae; Streptophyta; Magnoliopsida; Lamiales; Oleaceae. The record is from RNAcentral.